RNAcentral lists this ribosomal RNA (253 nucleotides) under uncultured bacterium. RNAcentral describes it as "partial 16S ribosomal RNA". It matches the Rfam family "Bacterial small subunit ribosomal RNA", at positions 524 to 776 of the family's 1533-position model. The record is from RNAcentral.
UACGGAGGGAGCUAGCGUUGUUCGGAUUCAUUGGGCGUAAAGGGUGCGUAGGUGGCGCGCUAAGUCAGGUGUGAAAUUUCGGAGCUUAACUCCGAAACUGCAUUUGAUACUGGCGUGCUUGAGGACUGGAGAGGAGACUGGAAUUUACGGUGUAGCGGUGAAAUGCGUAGAUAUCGUAAGGAAGACCAGUGGCGAAGGCGGGUCUCUGGACAGUUCCUGACGCUGAGGCACGAAGGCCAGGGGAGCAAACGGG